This 253-nucleotide ribosomal RNA is filed under the name uncultured bacterium. RNAcentral describes it as "partial 16S ribosomal RNA". It matches the Rfam family "Bacterial small subunit ribosomal RNA", at positions 524 to 776 of the family's 1533-position model. The record is from RNAcentral.
UACGUAGGGGGCAAGCGUUGUCCGGAAUCAUUGGGCGUAAAGAGCGUGUAGGCGGCUUGGUAAGUCCGCUGUGAAAGUCCAGGGCUCAACCCUGGAAAGCCGGUGGAAACUGUCAAGCUUGAGUCCGGAAGAGGCGAGUGGAAUUCCUGGUGUAGCGGUGAAAUGCGCAGAUAUCAGGAGGAACACCAAUGGCGAAGGCAGCUCGCUGGGAUGGUACUGACGCUGAGACGCGAAAGCGUGGGGAGCAAACAGG